Molecule: ribosomal RNA, 1762 nt
Filed under: Bacteroides thetaiotaomicron
Lineage: Bacteria; Pseudomonadati; Bacteroidota; Bacteroidia; Bacteroidales; Bacteroidaceae
Description: partial 23S ribosomal RNA
Rfam family: Bacterial large subunit ribosomal RNA
Source: RNAcentral
AUUAAGCGUAGUGGUAUCCUGAGUAGCGCGGGACACGAGAAAUCUUGCGUGAAUCUGCCGGGACCAUCCGGUAAGGCUAAAUACUCCCGAGAGACCGAUAGCGAACCAGUACUGUGAAGGAAAGGUGAAAAGCACUUCGAAUAGAAGAGUGAAAUAGUCCCUGAAACCGUGCGCCUACAAGCGGUCGGAGCUGCUUAAGCAGUGACGGCGUGCCUUUUGCAUAAUGAACCUACGAGUUACUUUUUCCGGCAAGGUUAAGCAUCUUGAGAUGUGCAGCCGAAGCGAAAGCGAGUCUGAACAGGGCGUCGAGUCGGAAGGAGUAGACGCGAAACCAAGUGAUCUACCCUUGGUCAGGUUGAAGGUUAGGUAACACUAACUGGAGGACCGAACCGAUAAGCGUUGAAAAGCUUCCGGAUGAACUGAGGGUGGGGGUGAAAGGCUAAUCAAACUUGGAGAUAGCUCGUACUCCCCGAAAUGCAUUUAGGUGCAGCCUUGUGAGUUACUAAUGUGAGGUAGAGCGACUGAUAAGAUGCGAGGGCUUCACCGCCUAUCAAGUCUUGAUAAACUCCGAAUGCGCAUUAGUUCUAUCACAGGAGUGAGGGCAUGGGUGCUAAGGUCCAUGUCCUAAAGGAGAAGAAUCCAGACCAUCAGCUAAGGUCCCCAAAUAAACACUAAGUUGAACUAACGAAGUCAGAUUGCUAAGACAGCUAGGAUGUUGGCUUGGAAGCAGCCAUUCAUUUAAAGAGUGCGUAACAGCUCACUAGUCGAGGAGUUUGGCGUGGAUAAUAAUCGGGCAUCAAGUGUUUUACCGAAGCUAUGGGAUCAGUAAUGAUCGGUAGGGGAGCAUUCCACUCAGCGUCGAAGGUGAAGCGUGAGCUUUGCUGGAGCGUGUGGAAAAGCAAAUGUAGGUAUAAGUAACGAUAAAGGGGGUGAGAAACCCCCUCGCCGAAAGACUAAGGUUUCCUGAUCAACGCUAAUCGGAUCAGGGUUAGUCGGGUCCUAAGGCUCAGCCGAACGGUGAGGCCGAUGGCAGAACAGGUUAAUAUUCCUGUACUACCUUAAGGAGUGACGUGGAGACGGAGCAGUGACAGCGCCGCGGACUGACGGAAUAGUCCGUUGAAGGGUGUAGAUGUUGAUCAUCCCAGGCAAAUCCGGGAUGAGAGUCGAACCUGAUAGUAUGGAGCGUUCUUCGGAACAAUCCAAUAGUGCGUGUAAGCAUACUCCCAAGAAAAUCCGCUAAACUUAAUCCUUAAGGUACCCGUACCGCAAACGGACACACGUAGUCGGGUUGAAUAUACUAAGGCGCUUGAGUGAUUCACGGUUAAGGAACUAGGCAAAUUGACCCUGUAACUUCGGGAUAAAGGGUCCCAACGAGAGUUGGGCGCAGAGAAUAGGUCCAGGCAACUGUUUAACAAAAACACAGGGCUGUGCCAAAUUGAAAGAUUACGUAUACAGCCUGACACCUGCCCGGUGCUGGAAGGUUAAGAGGAGAUGUCAUCGCAAGAGAAGCAUUGAAUUGAAGCCCCAGUAAACGGCGGCCGUAACUAUAACGGUCCUAAGGUAGCGAAAUUCCUUGUCGGGUAAGUUCCGACCUGCACGAAUGGUGUAAUGAUCUGGACACUGUCUCAACCGUGAGCUCAGUGAAAUUGUAGUAUCGGUGAAGAUGCCGAUUACCCGCGAUGGGACGAAAAGACCCCGUGAACCUUUACUAUAGCUUAACAUUGAAUUUGGGUAAUUGAUGUGUAGGAUAGGCCGGAGACUU